AGUGAUGCACACACAGUAGGUAUCUGUAGGUAAAUAUUUGUCUCCCAACAAAACUGAUGUGAAUAAAUCUAGCUAAUCUGCCCCCAGAGAUGGUGCCUUGUUCUGUUUCUCACCCUCCGUACCAGGCUCUGGAUGAGCAGAGCUGACAAUGCCCAGCUCUUCUUGGAGCUCAGAGCCAUUGUUUCUUGCAGGAGACGACACACUGGGAUGCCUGCUCUGUGAUUUGUGGAGACUGGCUCCGGUUUAAGGAGAGAAUGCUGUGAUUUAUCUUGCUAAGGCCUCCUUUUCUUCUCCCGAUGAUGAUGGAUGCCCACAGCCACAUCAGAAGACGUCAGGAGACACACAGCACAGAGCUAUGGCAGUUAUCCCCAAGGUGCAGGAAAUAGCCGACAAAACCUCAACUCUCCUGGUACACAGAGCCUGCACAGAGCUACACUUCAGGACAGACCCGACAUGAUUCUGAAGUGUCUGUGAUAAGACAGAAGCCUUUCCAUUCUCAUCGGGAAAGGAGAGUCGCUGUCUAUGGGAGGCAGAAAGGGAACAAGCAAGAAAGUAACCAAUCUUUAAAGUGAACUUCUGUAAGCCCUCUCGGGUAAGCCACCUCUUUAAAUCUGACCUUGCUCACAGGUACAGUGGACGUGACGACCUGGCCUAGAUGCAGAAGCUGUGGAGCAGAUCCAAGGCAGGCAGAGUGUAGCCGCCUUGCUGUGUGAUAUUAUCAGCAUGUUGGGUUUUGCUCGCUAUCUCUGUGAAUACUUUCGGAAGAAACCUGCUUCUCUCUG
Molecule: long non-coding RNA, 782 nt
Filed under: Mus spicilegus (steppe mouse)
Lineage: Eukaryota; Metazoa; Chordata; Mammalia; Rodentia; Muridae
Description: lncRNA (ENSMSIG00000009768.1)
Source: RNAcentral